Zootermopsis nevadensis is the source of this 1755-nucleotide non-coding RNA. The record is from RefSeq and is a predicted model, not a curated record. Lineage: Eukaryota; Metazoa; Arthropoda; Insecta; Blattodea; Termopsidae.
GUAAACAACUCUUCCGAAGCAAUAGUGCAUUGUCGCUUUCAUUGAGUUGUUUACUCGAUGCUAUUGUUACUCUGUUUAUUGUCAGCUCUCAAGCGGUUAUACGGUUAGGCACAAGAUUGAUACUGAUUCUUGAUAUUUUAGAGUAUUUAAGAUGGAUAACGUCGAAGAAAACGGAAAAUCUUCAUUGGAUCAACCUAAAGUAUUUUCUGAAGAAAAGGAAAAACGUGAAACCAAGGAAACGAUAAGGAGAUGGUGGAAAGACAGUUAUUUAAUAGAAUUUUUUUUGAAUGUGUGGCCUUGUUUGUGUUUGUUUGUGUUUCUUUAUUUAUGUGUGCCUGAGCAUGUGUUUGUAUUUGAGGGUUUGCGUGUGUGUGUAUGUGUGAUUGUUUGUUUGCUUAUUUUAUUUUGCAUGUUUGAUUGUUUCUGUGGAAGUGAGUGUGACCACGGGUGAGCCCCGGUAAUUAUGAAUGCAAUUGGUCAAUUAUAGCUACAAUUAAGACUCGAUAGAAUGGCGAUGAAAUGGACCUUACACACACCUAAUGCAAAGGAAAAAGAAAUUAUAAAAACACACCGAUUUGAACAUACCACAAGUUCUCAACGAAAUAGACCAGAGCUAAAAAUUGCUGAUGAUUAGCGACAAUCUGUGCCACUAUACGCAAGAUCCACACAAAGUAUAACUCAACGGGCAAUCUGAAAACACGGAAGGCGCAGAACGAGCUACGUACUUCACGAUAUGUCGCCGCCAAAGACGAACGCAGUCCUCUGAAGGGAACAGUAAAAGAGCUAGAUUUGAAAAUGCAGUUCACUCAAGAAACCCAAGGGUAGAACAAUAUUCAUUUAGAAGAGGAACAUUCUAGAAUUUUUCCUUCCACUUUAGCAGAAACUUUCUAGAUUUAUCACCGAAAAAAAUAACAAGAGAGAUGAAGUUCUGGAUCUACAGCUUUAAAAAACUACCGAAACGUCUUAAAUGUUCGAGGAAAUCAGAAUAGAGAUCAUAAUCUUAGAUGAUCAGCUACUAGCUUUCGCAAAUGAAGGACGAAAUGACAAUUUAUAAAGAAGCUAGAAAUCAAUAGCAAACUACUAUAAUUAGUCAGAUUGCAGAAAACCGCAGUCUAAAAGCCGAAGUGCAGGACCUGGAGUGGAAGCUCGAUGUAGACUACGCUGCCAUGAUUAAGGAGCAAUUUGCAGGCAUGAAGGAGCAGUUGCUGGGUCAAACAAUGGACAUUCAGUUUCAUUACGUCAGUGUGAACAACGACUGUCUUCAAUUGCGAGACGAAAUCAGCAUUUACGAAGGAGCCAAACGUCAGUUGGAACAUGAAGUUUAAAACCAGGUAGAAAAGCUCGCUGAUCACAGUCAAAGCUUAAUUUCCGAGUUCCGAUUUACGUGCCUUCGAAAAGGAAAUCAGACAACGUACUGAUAACUUUGAACAGCCAAUUUGAUUUGAUAUAGAUCUCGUGGAGAACACGUUCAGUUGUGUAAAUCGUGAGCUGCAGGUUCUGGUCCAUAAGAUUUCAUACGAAGAGUACAUUUAGCUACUUGCGAUUUGGAAGAACGGCUUGGCAUGUUAUCUUCAGUUUUGACCGUGAAACACCGACGAGGCAGGAAGUGGCUGAAUUUUUAUAACGUCAGAAAACUAUUUCAGUAUAAUCUCUCCUCGCCCACUUUGCUAAGGGAAAGGAAAUAUACGAUGAAUGUUUAAUGGCGUUAGUCGAUGUGAUAAGUGUUGGAAACAGCCUUUCUACCGGUGAGAAAGA